This 200-nucleotide ribosomal RNA is filed under the name uncultured bacterium. RNAcentral's name for it is "partial 16S ribosomal RNA". It matches the Rfam family "Bacterial small subunit ribosomal RNA", at positions 32 to 214 of the family's 1533-position model. The record is from RNAcentral.
AAUCAACGCUGGCGGCGUGCCUCAGACAUGCAAGUCGAACGCGAAAGGCCCUUUCGGGGGCCGAGUAGAGUGGCGCACGGGUGGGUAACACGUAGGUAAUCUACCUCUGGGUGGGGAAUAACGACCGGAAACGGUCGCUAAUACCGCAUAACGCAGCGGCACCACAUGGUGACAGUUGUUAAAGCGGGGGAUCGUAAGAC